This 1772-nucleotide long non-coding RNA is filed under the name Cucumis sativus (cucumber). Its description in RNAcentral is "long non-coding RNA (CSAT_LNC002129)". Lineage: Eukaryota; Viridiplantae; Streptophyta; Magnoliopsida; Cucurbitales; Cucurbitaceae. The record is from RNAcentral.
GUUGUCGUCUUCGCCUUCAUCUGAUUGGUUAUGGUGGGGAUGUUCUUGUUCUGGUGGUUCUUCCAUGGAUUUUGGUAGUUCUUCCUUUUUCAUUUCUGCUUCAGAGUUCGAUGCUGAUGCUGAUGCUGCCAUGGAAGCUGCACUUUGGUGAGUGGACUCUCUAACUAGAAGAAAAAGAACGAACAACAAUAUUUUUACACCAAUCUCUUCCAAUUUUCUCCUUGGAACCUAUAUGCUUCUUUUUGUAUAUUUUUCUAAAGAAAAAAAAAAGUAUUUACAUAUUCCCUUAAUUUUAGGAAAAAUAUUUACAUAACACCAAAAUUAAAAAUGUCCAUAUUUAGGGAUAUAACAAGGUAUUAGUGUGGAAAUAUUCAUAAAACCUCCGUUUGGAUGGAUAUUUAAGAAACCAACUCCGAAAAAACAAAAAUAGAUUUAAAUAUAUAAAUAAAUAUUUUACAACUUUUAAACGGGUUAAGAUAUCAAUAAUUAUCUAUCAAAUUGAAAAUAUAAUAAAGUUCAUUAAUACUAUACUCUAUCGUUCGUCAAUGAACUUUACUCUAUACUAAAUUUUAUCAUAUUAUCAAUAAACUUAAGUAAUGUUAUCAAUGAAAAUAUAAACUUUUUAAGUUUGGUUGUGAUGUUUAGAGUUUAAGAUUAUUGUUAAUACAUGAAUUGACUAAGAUAUUAUACUUCCAAUCACAAGUCUAGAAAUUUGCAUUAUUAAUUUCCUCGUGUUUAACCUAAAAAUCACCUUGCAAAAGUCCACUACCACAUCCUAGAGUCUGUCAUAUGGAUGGAUUCCAACCUAUGCAUACUAAAAAGAAAACAUACAUUAAUUAAGCACAUCCACUCUUCUACAUCCUAUACUAUAAAAGACUUAGAAUUCAGCCCAAUUUUUUUAAAAGAAUUAAUACGUGACAUAUAUUAUAUUGCACACAUAUAUUUGUUGUUAUGAGAAAAUUAUUUAUCUAAAUUUUCUCAUAAAAGAUACUUAUUUAAAAAAUAAAAAACCAAUAAGAAAGUGCCACGUUUUCAUAUUGGACGGUGAAUGGUUGGAAGGCUAAAUUCAAUUUUGGCUCUUUCCCUUUUGUCGUCAUCCUGUGGGUCCAGUUAGGAUGCCACUCCCUAAAGCACAAGUGGCCGCCCGUUAUUGGUUGUAAAGACUUUGCAAAUUUGCUCUUUGGUUUUUUUUAGAAAUUAUAAAUUUAGCCCACACUUACUAUUUUUACAAAAGUAACUCACUAUUUCUCGCGGUCUUCAUUUCGGAUGGAAAAUUAUCAAUUUAAACUUUUAAACUUAAAUUGUGUCCGUCUAAAGUCUAGAGUUUAAGCAGAAUAUUAUAUCAAUUUACACGUUGUACUAUGUUUUUAGAGUAAUUAUGAUUGGUGGUAAAUUAUGAAGAAUAAUUAAGUUUAUAACAAUAUUUUAAAAAAUUACAAAUAUAGCAAACGAUAAUAAGGUGAAAAAAGGAAAAUUAUAUUUAUUGUCCCUAAGUUUUAAGUUAGUUUUCAUUUUCUUCUUAAAGAAAAAACAUUACAUUAAGUCCUUUUAUAGACAUGUCUACACAUUUUCUUGAUGAUGGCUCAAUUGCUUUUUGCAAACAGGUUUGGGUCUCAAUGUGGGCUGUCACGAUUUAGAAUGACUUUUUCUUUAUACGAUCAAAUGCCGAUGUGUUUCAAUCAACCUAUAUAAACUCUAUACGAAAUUUGAAAGGUAAAAUCUUAAGAUUGAGUGUAAUAUUAUGUUUUCAUUUUAAAUAAUUAAUAAUAUUU